GACGAACGCUGGCGGCGUGCUUAACACAUGCAAGUCGAACGGAAAGGCCCUGCUUUUGUGGGGUGCUCGAGUGGCGAACGGGUGAGUAACACGUGAGUAACCUGCCCUUGACUUUGGGAUAACUUCAGGAAACUGGGGCUAAUACCGGAUAGGAGCUCCUGCUGCAUGGUGGGGGUUGGAAAGUUUCGGCGGUUGGGGAUGGACUCGCGGCUUAUCAGCUUGUUGGUGGGGUAGUGGCUUACCAAGGCUUUGACGGGUAGCCGGCCUGGGAGGGUGACCGGCGACAUUGGGACUACGAGACGGACCAGAAUCCUACGGGAGGCAGCAGUGGGGAAUCUGGCACAAUGGGCGGGAGCCUGAUGCAGCAACGCUGCGUGCGGGAUGACGGCCUUCGGGUUGUAAACCGCUUUCGCCUGUGACGAAGCGUGAGUGACGGUAAUGGGUAAAGAAGCACCGGCUAACUACGUG
RNAcentral lists this ribosomal RNA (468 nucleotides) under uncultured bacterium. Its description in RNAcentral is "partial 16S ribosomal RNA". It matches the Rfam family "Bacterial small subunit ribosomal RNA", at positions 28 to 507 of the family's 1533-position model. The record is from RNAcentral.